Molecule: long non-coding RNA, 638 nt
Organism: Rosa rugosa (rugosa rose)
Lineage: Eukaryota; Viridiplantae; Streptophyta; Magnoliopsida; Rosales; Rosaceae
Exons: 3
Source: RefSeq, a predicted model, not a curated record
UUCCAGUUUUCUUCCUCUCUCUCGCCGACGUAACUUUCCGGCGUCGCCGCCGCCUCGUCCGGCCACCUAUGGCCAUGAAAUUGGUGUCCAUCUCUUCGUCUUGAAACAAGGUUUCUAUCCAUAUAUGCCUUGCACCCUAUCAUUCACCAUAGACGACGAAUCGAAGCCAACAAGUUCGCUGUAGCAGCUCGGGUUUUCUGGAAAAUUUUCCAGAUUCCGGCCAUCUCCGACAACAUUUUUGGGCUUGAUCGAUGCGCCUCGGGACGUGGGUGACGUUCCUCCAAGUUUUAUUCCACAAAUUGAAGUGAAAUUGGUGAAUCGAAGGGCGAUAUACCGAGCUAUUGCUCGAUGAAGGAACUCGUAUGCGUGAUCGCCUAAAUAGUACUUUUGCAAGCCAGUUUAGCUUGAGGUCGAGCGUACAUGGGGUUGAGGCAUAGCUGUCAUAGCUUCCGCAGUAUAAAAGUAUCGGUCAUUUAUCUUAUAUUUUAUCAUCUUGUACGUCUGUACAUUAGAUUGCUCUGAUAACCCAGGAUAUUAAUAUUUUUAAGUUCAGAAUUGUUUGUGAAAUGGGAGAUGUUGUGAUAUGGGGAGCAGGGUGGCUCCAGAAGAUUAAGGGUGGAUUAUUUUAGAAGUGUAAA